RNAcentral lists this unclassified non-coding RNA (211 nucleotides) under plant metagenome. RNAcentral's name for it is "partial contains small subunit ribosomal RNA, internal transcribed spacer 1, and 5.8S ribosomal RNA". The record is from RNAcentral.
UUUCCGUAGGUGAACCUGCGGAAGGAUCAUUCAUAAUAAAGUGUUUUAUGGCACUUUUUAAAAAUCCAUAUCCACCUUGUGUGCAAUGUUAGAUCUCGUCAAUCUUGGCGAGAUUUUUAUACAUCAACUCAUUCUUUAACUAAUUUGUCAGAAAAAUAUUAUGAAUACUUAAUUCAAAAUACAACUUUCAACAACGGAUCUCUUGGCUCUC